UUUUGGUCCCUGUGACAUUAAAUCGAUUAUGAAUAUGAUUAAUUGGUUCAAGAAAAUCCAAGAAGAAGGGAAUAGAAGACCAAGGGUACACCAGGACCUGAACAAGUCCCAAGUGGGCCCCAGGCGGCCAAACCAGUCGUAUUCCUCUCUGCUUCUCCAAAAUAUCUCAUCUUUUCCCUUUGCCUCAAACUUUCUGCAUAUGACAGUAUAGAUCAGCCUACAACAUUCAAAUUUUCAGUUUACUACCAAAGAUGCUUUAUUAAUCUUUUUACCUCAGCAACAGAAAUCCCAAGGAAGAAAAUUAGUAGCCUAACUUGGGGCAUAAGUCCACCACUGCAUCCAACAAACUGCAGAGAAAAAAGGAUGAAUCCUGCUAAGGAGAUGCCACUUCAUGUGAGGAUA
Molecule: long non-coding RNA, 402 nt
Filed under: Rattus norvegicus (Norway rat)
Lineage: Eukaryota; Metazoa; Chordata; Mammalia; Rodentia; Muridae
Description: long non-coding RNA NONRATT003931
Source: RNAcentral